Saccostrea cuccullata (small rock oyster) is the source of this 266-nucleotide long non-coding RNA. RefSeq lists it as uncharacterized. NCBI's taxonomy places the organism in Eukaryota, Metazoa, Mollusca, Bivalvia, Ostreida, Ostreidae. The transcript has 3 exons. The record is from RefSeq and is a predicted model, not a curated record.
UAGACUGGCUGCCCUGGUAAUCUAGUUUGCAGGUAUAGAUUUCCACGAUACGAAUGUGUUCAAGAAAAUAUGGGGAUACGUUGCAGAACUAACAGAGACUGUCCUUUUGGGCAAUACUGCUGGAGAAGACGGUGCGUUAUCUUCCCAUUUGCAGGCUCCGCCGAUCAAUCCCAAGAUACCCAGGCAACCGGAACUGAAAGCGGAAAUGGAAUGUAAACAAGACUGUUUUAUGUAUUGAUUAUAUUGAAUAAAAAUUUGGAGUGGUA